RNAcentral lists this ribosomal RNA (2904 nucleotides) under Yersinia pestis. RNAcentral describes it as "bacterial LSU rRNA". It matches the Rfam family "Bacterial large subunit ribosomal RNA". The record is from RNAcentral. Lineage: Bacteria; Pseudomonadati; Pseudomonadota; Gammaproteobacteria; Enterobacterales; Yersiniaceae.
UAAGCGACUAAGCGUACACGGUGGAUGCCUAGGCAGUCAGAGGCGAUGAAGGGCGUGCUAAUCUGCGAAAAGCGUCGGUAAGCUGAUAUGAAGCGUUAUAACCGACGAUACCCGAAUGGGGAAACCCAGUGCAAUACGUUGCACUAUCGUUAGAUGAAUACAUAGUCUAACGAGGCGAACCGGGGGAACUGAAACAUCUAAGUACCCCGAGGAAAAGAAAUCAACCGAGAUUCCCCCAGUAGCGGCGAGCGAACGGGGAGGAGCCCAGAGUCUGAAUCAGUUUGUGUGUUAGUGGAAGCGUCUGGAAAGUCGCACGGUACAGGGUGAUAGUCCCGUACACCAAAAUGCACAGGCUGUGAACUCGAUGAGUAGGGCGGGACACGUGACAUCCUGUCUGAAUAUGGGGGGACCAUCCUCCAAGGCUAAAUACUCCUGACUGACCGAUAGUGAACCAGUACCGUGAGGGAAAGGCGAAAAGAACCCCGGCGAGGGGAGUGAAAUAGAACCUGAAACCGUGUACGUACAAGCAGUGGGAGCACCUUCGUGGUGUGACUGCGUACCUUUUGUAUAAUGGGUCAGCGACUUAUAUUUUGUAGCAAGGUUAACCGAAUAGGGGAGCCGUAGGGAAACCGAGUCUUAACUGGGCGUCUAGUUGCAAGGUAUAGACCCGAAACCCGGUGAUCUAGCCAUGGGCAGGUUGAAGGUUGGGUAACACUAACUGGAGGACCGAACCGACUAAUGUUGAAAAAUUAGCGGAUGACUUGUGGCUGGGGGUGAAAGGCCAAUCAAACCGGGAGAUAGCUGGUUCUCCCCGAAAGCUAUUUAGGUAGCGCCUCGUGAACUCAUCUUCGGGGGUAGAGCACUGUUUCGGCUAGGGGGCCAUCCCGGCUUACCAAACCGAUGCAAACUCCGAAUACCGAAGAAUGUUAUCACGGGAGACACACGGCGGGUGCUAACGUCCGUCGUGAAGAGGGAAACAACCCAGACCGCCAGCUAAGGUCCCAAAGUCAUGGUUAAGUGGGAAACGAUGUGGGAAGGCACAGACAGCCAGGAUGUUGGCUUAGAAGCAGCCAUCAUUUAAAGAAAGCGUAAUAGCUCACUGGUCGAGUCGGCCUGCGCGGAAGAUGUAACGGGGCUAAACCAUGCACCGAAGCUGCGGCAGCGACACUUAGGUGUUGUUGGGUAGGGGAGCGUUCUGUAAGCCGUUGAAGGUGACCUGUGAGGGUUGCUGGAGGUAUCAGAAGUGCGAAUGCUGACAUAAGUAACGAUAAUGCGGGUGAAAAACCCGCACGCCGGAAGACCAAGGGUUCCUGUCCAACGUUAAUCGGGGCAGGGUGAGUCGACCCCUAAGGCGAGGCUGAAAAGCGUAGUCGAUGGGAAACAGGUUAAUAUUCCUGUACUUGGUGUUACUGCGAAGGGGGGACGGAGAAGGCUAGGCUGGCCGGGCGACGGUUGUCCCGGUUUAAGCGUGUAGGGGGAGUGACCAGGUAAAUCCGGUUGCUUAUCAACCCUGAGGCGUGAUGACGAUGCACCACGGUGCAGAAGCAGUUGAUGCCAUGCUUCCAGGAAAAGCCUCUAAGCAUCAGGUAACAUUAAAUCGUACCCCAAACCGACACAGGUGGUCAGGUAGAGAAUACUCAGGCGCUUGAGAGAACGUCGGGUGAAGGAACUAGGCAAAAUGGUGCCGUAACUUCGGGAGAAGGCACGCUGGCGUUAGGUGAAAGGACUAGCUCCUGGAGCUGAAGCCAGUCGCAGAUACCAGCUGGCUGCAACUGUUUAAUAAAAACACAGCACUGUGCAAACACGAAAGUGGACGUAUACGGUGUGACGCCUGCCCGGUGCUGGAAGGUUAAUUGAUGGGGUCAGCCGCAAGGCGAAGCUCUUGAUCGAAGCCCCAGUAAACGGCGGCCGUAACUAUAACGGUCCUAAGGUAGCGAAAUUCCUUGUCGGGUAAGUUCCGACCUGCACGAAUGGCGUAAUGAUGGCCAGGCUGUCUCCACCCGAGACUCAGUGAAAUUGAACUCGCUGUGAAGAUGCAGUGUACCCGCGGCAAGACGGAAAGACCCCGUGAACCUUUACUAUAGCUUGACACUGAACAUUGAGCCUUGAUGUGUAGGAUAGGUGGGAGGCCUUGAAGUGUGGACGCCAGUCUGCAUGGAGCCAACCUUGAAAUACCACCCUUUAAUGUUUGAUGUUCUAACUCGGCCCCAUGAUCUGGGGUGAGGACAGUGUCUGGUGGGUAGUUUGACUGGGGCGGUCUCCUCCCAAAGAGUAACGGAGGAGCACGAAGGUUAGCUAAUCACGGUCGGACAUCGUGAGGUUAGUGCAAAGGCAUAAGCUAGCUUGACUGCGAGAGUGACGGCUCGAGCAGGUACGAAAGUAGGUCUUAGUGAUCCGGUGGUUCUGAAUGGAAGGGCCAUCGCUCAACGGAUAAAAGGUACUCCGGGGAUAACAGGCUGAUACCGCCCAAGAGUUCAUAUCGACGGCGGUGUUUGGCACCUCGAUGUCGGCUCAUCACAUCCUGGGGCUGAAGUAGGUCCCAAGGGUAUGGCUGUUCGCCAUUUAAAGUGGUACGCGAGCUGGGUUUAGAACGUCGUGAGACAGUUCGGUCCCUAUCUGCCGUGGGCGUUGGAAGAUUGAGAGGGGCUGCUCCUAGUACGAGAGGACCGGAGUGGACGAAUCACUGGUGUUCGGGUUGUCAUGCCAAUGGCAUUGCCCGGUAGCUAAAUUCGGAAGAGAUAACCGCUGAAAGCAUCUAAGCGGGAAACUUGCCUCGAGAUGAGUCUUCCCUGGGGCUUAAAGCCCCCUGAAGGAACGUUAAAGACUAUGACGUUGAUAGGCUGGGUGUGUAAGUGCAGCGAUGUAUUGAGCUAACCAGUACUAAUGAUCCGUGAGGCUUAACCU